GCCAGUGUGGGGUAGUGAUUUGAGACUAUGACUCUACAGGCCAGGGUUCGAAUCCCCGCUCAGUCG
Non-coding RNA from Phrynosoma platyrhinos (Desert horned lizard), 66 nucleotides. The record is from the annotation of a GenBank genome assembly. NCBI's taxonomy places the organism in Eukaryota, Metazoa, Chordata, Lepidosauria, Squamata, Phrynosomatidae.